CCCCAGUAACGGCGAGUGAAGCGGCAACAGCUCAAAUUUGAAAUCUGGCCCCCAGGGCCCGAGUUGUAAUUUGCAGAGGAUGCUUUUGGCGACGCGCCUUCCGAGUUCCCUGGAACGGGACGCCAUAGAGGGUGAGAGCCCCGUCUGGUUGGACGCCGAGCCUCUGUAAAGCUCCUUCGACGAGUCGAGUAGUUUGGGAAUGCUGCUCUAAAUGGGAGGUAUAUGUCUUCUAAAGCUAAAUACCGGCCAGAGACCGAUAGCGCACAAGUAGAGUGAUCGAAAGAUGAAAAGCACUUUGAAAAGAGGGUUAAAUAGUACGUGAAAUUGUUGAAAGGGAAGCGCUCACGACCAGACUUGAGCCCGGUGAAUCAUCCAGCGUUCUCGCUGGUGCACUUCGCCGGGCCCAGGCCAGCAUCGGUUCGCCGCGGGGGAGAAAGGCGUCGGGAACGUGGCUCCCUCGGGAGUGUUAUAGCCCGUCGCACAAUACCCUGGGGCGGACCGAGGUUCGCGCAUCUGCAAGGAUGCUGGCGUAAUGGUCGUCAGCGACCCGUCUUGAAACACGGACCAAGGAGUCGUCUUCGUAUGCGAGUGUUCGGGUGUAAAACCCCUACGCGUAAUGAAAGUGAACGCAGGUGAGAGCUUCGGCGCAUCAUCGACCGAUCCUGAUGUUCUCGGAUGGAUUUGAGUAAGAGCAUACGGGGCCGGACCCGAAAGAAGGUGAACUAUGCCUGUGUAGGGUGAAGCCAGAGGAAACUCUGGUGGAGGCUCGCAGCGGUUCUGACGUGCAAAUCGAUCGUCAAACAUGGGCAUGGGGGCGAAAGACUAAUCGAA
RNAcentral lists this ribosomal RNA (831 nucleotides) under Chlorocillium griseum. RNAcentral describes it as "partial large subunit ribosomal RNA". It matches the Rfam family "Eukaryotic large subunit ribosomal RNA", at positions 78 to 939 of the family's 3401-position model. Lineage: Eukaryota; Fungi; Ascomycota; Sordariomycetes; Hypocreales; Chlorocilliaceae. The record is from RNAcentral.